This 497-nucleotide ribosomal RNA is filed under the name uncultured bacterium. RNAcentral describes it as "partial 16S ribosomal RNA". It matches the Rfam family "Bacterial small subunit ribosomal RNA", at positions 28 to 507 of the family's 1533-position model. The record is from RNAcentral.
GAUGAACGCUGGCGGCGUGCCUAAUACAUGCAAGUCGAGCGAACGGACGAGAAGCUUUCUUCUCUGAUGUUAGCGGCUGACGGGUGAGUAACACGUGGAUAACCUACCUAUAUGACUUGGAUAACUUCGGGAAACCGGAUCUAAUACCGGAUAAUAUUUUGAACCGCAUGGUUCAAAAGUGAAAGACGGUCUUGCUGUCACUUAUAGAUGGUUCCGCGCUGCAUUAGCUAGUUGGUAAGGUAACGGCUUACCAAGGCAACGAUGCAUAGCCGACCUGAGAGGAUGAUCGGCCACACUGGAACUGAGACACGGUCCAGACUCCUACGGGAGGCAGCAGUAGGGAAUCUUCCGCAAUGGGCGAAAGCCUGACGGAGCAACGCCGCGUGAGUGAUGAAGGUCUUCGGAUCGUAAAACUCUGUUAUUAGGGAAGAACAUAUGUGGAAGUAAAUGUGCACAUCUUGACGGUACCUAAUCAGAAAGCCACGGCUAACUACGUG